GAGAAUACCUGUAAAUGGAAAUAUUAUGAAGCAGAAGUCACUACGAAUUUAUAAGCAACUGCAGAUAUCGGAGCCAUCAACAAGUCGUCAAGAUAAGUGAAAGGAAUUUUCUGGUAGUGAUGGAUGGCUCACAGGCCUCUUAAAAGAAACGCAUUUCAUAAUUUAAAAAUUAAAGGAGAAAUCGCAUCAGCAGAUGAAAAGAUAGAUAAAACCUUUCCAGCAGAACUAGCCAAAGUAAUUGAAAAUGGGGCUAUGUCCCCGACCUAAUUUUCAAUGCCGAUGAAACGGGUUUGUUCUGGAAAAUAAUGCCUUCCAGAACUUUUAUAGCAAAAUCCGAAAAAAAAUGACAGAGGUUUUAAAGUUGCUAAAGAUCGAAUUUUUUGUGUAGCAACGCUUCUGGUGACAAAAUUUUAAAGCCUCUUUUAAUUAAUCGAUCAUUAAGAGUCUUAAUUUAAGACCACGUGCUUUGAGAGAAAAAAACAUUCAAGAGUUGCCGGUUCAUUGGAGGGCGAAUAAAAAGGCCUGCAUGACAACAGAUCUAUUUACGGAAUGGUUUGUUUCUGAAGUUAAAAAAUAUAUGGAACAGCGAUGUCUUGAUUUUAAAGUGUUUUUGCCAAGUCAUCUUUGCCACCUAAUACCACUUUCUUAAUUCAACCAUUAGAUCAGGAUGCGGUAGCGAAGGACAAGCUUAGGAUCGUUGAUGCAUGGAAAAAAUAUUCUAUUUUGGAUUGCAUUACUUAGGCUUCGAAGGUCAAAAAAAAGUUAAGGGUAUCAACAUUAAAUUCCUGAUGGAAAGCACUGUGGCCAGAAUGCGUGAAGAGUGGUACCUCUGUUCCCCAAGCAUCGAUGGAGACUUCUGAAAUUAUAGCCUUAGCACAUGAAAUCGGAGGAGAAGGAUUUGAAGACCUAUUGAAUUGAAGAUGUCGACGAAUUAAUGAUAGAUAAACCUCUUGAUAAUGAUUGUGUGAUUGAAUUAGUAACAGAUGCCGGCAAAACUGAGAACCAUAAUAGCGACAACGACGAGGAGACCGAAAUAUGUCAACUAACUGCUAGUUUGAAUUUAUUACUUGAAGUUUUAAUGCUCAAUAAAAUUCCAUAUGAACAUACAAUUUA
Bactrocera neohumeralis is the source of this 1113-nucleotide long non-coding RNA. RefSeq lists it as uncharacterized. The record is from RefSeq and is a predicted model, not a curated record. The transcript is spliced from 2 exons. NCBI's taxonomy places the organism in Eukaryota, Metazoa, Arthropoda, Insecta, Diptera, Tephritidae.